CACGUAGGGCGCAAGCGUUGUCCGGAAUUAUUGGGCGUAAAGAGCUCGUAGGCGGUCUGUUGCGUCCGCUGUGAAAACUCGGGGCUUAACCCCGAGCCUGCAGUGGAUACGGGCAGACUAGAGGUAGGUAGGGGAGAAUGGAAUUCCCGGUGUAGUGGUGAAAUGCGUAGAUAUCGGGAGGAACACCAGUGGCGAAGGCGGCUUCCUGGCCUGUUCUUGACGCUGAGGCGCGAAAGCUAGGGGAGCAAACGGG
RNAcentral lists this ribosomal RNA (253 nucleotides) under uncultured bacterium. Its description in RNAcentral is "partial 16S ribosomal RNA". It matches the Rfam family "Bacterial small subunit ribosomal RNA", at positions 524 to 776 of the family's 1533-position model. The record is from RNAcentral.